This 559-nucleotide ribosomal RNA is filed under the name Lasiodiplodia theobromae. Its description in RNAcentral is "eukaryotic LSU rRNA". The stretch from base 197 to 350 matches the Rfam family "5.8S ribosomal RNA". The record is from RNAcentral. Lineage: Eukaryota; Fungi; Ascomycota; Dothideomycetes; Botryosphaeriales; Botryosphaeriaceae.
UUAGAGGAAGUAAAAGUCGUAACAAGGUUUCCGUAGGUGAACCUGCGGAAGGAUCAUUACCGAGUUUUCGAGCUUCGGCUCGACUCUCCCACCCUUUGUGAACGUACCUCUGUUGCUUUGGCGGCUUCGGCCGCCAAAGGACCUUCAAACUCCAGUCAGUAAACGCAGACGUCUGAUAAACAAGUUAAUAAACUAAAACUUUCAACAACGGAUCUCUUGGUUCUGGCAUCGAUGAAGAACGCAGCGAAAUGCGAUAAGUAAUGUGAAUUGCAGAAUUCAGUGAAUCAUCGAAUCUUUGAACGCACAUUGCGCCCCUUGGUAUUCCGGGGGGCAUGCCUGUUCGAGCGUCAUUACAACCCUCAAGCUCUGCUUGGAAUUGGGCACCGUCCUCACUGCGGACGCGCCUCAAAGACCUCGGCGGUGGCUGUUCAGCCCUCAAGCGUAGUAGAAUACACCUCGCUUUGGAGCGGUUGGCGUCGCCCGCCGGACGAACCUUCUGAACUUUUCUCAAGGUUGACCUCGGAUCAGGUAGGGAUACCCGCUGAACUUAAGCAUAUCA